AUUAAAUGGUGGAGUAGACUUGAUGGGCCGAAUGGCUUUAUCCUGUUCCUAGUACUUUUGAACUAACGUUAAUGGUUGAUCGAUGGUCAGCCUGGACUCUGUGAACGGAAGGACCCACGCUGUAUCUUUCAAUCAAUCAAAAACGUUUGAAAUGCUUUUCAUGUUGAGUUGGGUAAUUGGUGUAAUGAGAACACCAGAUUUCCUGUAGGCUGUGGGCCGAGGAGCUUUAUUCUACUGUUUUGUGAACGCAAGUCACCAAACUACAUGAAAGUUUCACAUAUUGUGUAAAGAAAUUAUAUAAAUCACCUCUAAAACUCGUCAUGAACAAGACUUGCACAUUUUUAUUAAAUUAGAGAAAUACCAGGAAAAUGUCCGGGUAAUUUUUAGUCCCGAAAUUUAGUCGGGCAAUCAAAGCACGUUUAACAUUGAGUUGUAUGCCAGUCGACCAAUCACGCGCUUUGCUUCAGGCUAGCACACAAAAUGGCUGAGGGUCCCUCUACAGAUGCCUGUUUUACUGGAGAUUCCGAUUUGUUGUUCUGUGGAAUACAUGUCAUGGAAACUUGCAGCAUGGUAAUUGAAUUUAGGGAGAAAAGCAUUAAAAAGGCUGAAGAAUGUGCUGCGAAGUGGAUAGAAGAGGAAGAAAGUCUUGAAAGCAAAGUCGCUGCUGAGGUGCUGGAACACAAGUCUGCAAAUUAUCUGGAAGACUGGAAGACAGCCAGGAAUCAACUGGAACUGAAAGGAGGCAGCAGUGUAUCCCGGGUUACCAUGCAGAGUGCUAUCGUCACUCUGCAACAUAACAACAAUAAAUCGAGCGAUAGCAAAGUCUAGAAGGAAGAAAGUUCAAGACACUGAAAAGUCUGAAGCAGGUGAAUCACCUCAAGAGGCAGUUCCUGAUGGUGAAACAGAUGAGCCGGACCCAAAGAGACUGCUUCGAUCCAUGACAAGUCAUAGUCAACAAACAGCAACUGUCGAGCACACUGACUGCAGGCAUGUUCUACCAGCGCAUUGCAUCAUUCGUAAAUGUUCAAAGUACACAAAAUAAAUAAAUUGUGGAAAAAAAUGAUUAUAUAAAGUUUUAUUUUAAUGUGGAUCGUUUCACUGUUUAUUUGGUCAAAUUAUUUAAACAAGAGUGAAUUAUUUAUGAUAAUGGCGUGCCGGUGAAUGACUGCGACAAUCCACCCACCGAUCCACACAGACAUACAUACGCACAUCCACACACACACAU
Long non-coding RNA from Leucoraja erinaceus (little skate), 1225 nucleotides. RefSeq lists it as uncharacterized. The transcript is spliced from 3 exons. Lineage: Eukaryota; Metazoa; Chordata; Chondrichthyes; Rajiformes; Rajidae. The record is from RefSeq and is a predicted model, not a curated record.